AGAUGUGGGUCAGAUUCCCAGAGAUGCCCAACCCUGAUGCCAAAGAAAAUCAGGGAGACCUCACGGGGGCUUAAAGAGACAGGACAGCCUUUCAGAACACAAGUUUUAUGGGGGACGCAAAGACAAAGAUGUUGUCUUAUUCAAUGCCGAAUCCCUGGUGCCUCACCCGGAGCUCUGCACAAGGCAGAGCACCCCUGCCUCUCCCUCGUUCACGAUGGGGCUCGAGGGUCGGCAGAGCGAUGGCAAAGCUGAUGGUGCUGCUCAGAACCAAACAACGGGGGUAGCAGCCAGGAUCUUCCUGGAACCAGUGACCUUCCCUGGCCUGCACAGCAUGGGCCUUUACCCUGCUAGACAGACAGGACUUGGGCUGAGAGCUGAAGAACAAAAUUUGUGCUGACUUUGUAUGGAGCCACAGGACUAACGACAUGAUUCGCAUUUGCAGCAAGAAGCGGUUCUAUGGUGCUCUCCCGACUUGGAAUCACUUAUUGAACACCUGUGCUCCCGCCAGACCACAAGCUCCAGGACGGUGGGCUCUAGCAGCCCAGCUGCUCAGUAAAUGGUGAUUGAAUGACUGAAUCAAUAGAUCAGAGGCAGUAGAAGUUGUCUGGAGUUUCUUGGUUGUUCAUUGCGCAGUUGUCUGUGCAUUUUAUCAAACGUUCCAAACCUCCCAGAUAAGCCCUGAUGUGGAGACUGACCAUCUUUUUUUGUUUCAUUUUGCUUGAUUUCAAAUUGGCUUUGGGAACACCUCGAAAAGUAGGAGAAUGUGGUGAGACGCCAUUAGUCACCAUGGGGAGCGGAGAUGGGGACACGUGCAUGCCGUGACUGUCCCCACACCUCUGGGCUGUAGUCGGCGGCUCUGUCUUUAUGUGCUUGGCAAUUGCCGUGUGGAUGAGAAAUCGCUUUCUGGAAAUCUAGCGUGGUUUUCGCAUUAUGGUUUGGGAGUCCCUUAAAGCGAUUUCUGAUACCCACACCCAUCCCCCACUGCUUUUCCCAGGAAUUGAUUGGACUGGCUUUCUGGGUAUGCAGGGGUCCUCCGGGGCCCAGGCUCAGAGGUCCCUGCAGAGCUAAAGUAAUAUCUGUAGUCUGGGUAAGUGAAAUCAGGCAGGGAUGGGAGAAAGGAGGUUAAAAAGAAAAAAAAAAAAAAGCAAAUGUGUGUCUCUUUCCUGAGUGUUCUCUCUCUAUGUAGAUUUAACUAUACUACAUGUAAAUUCAACCCUAGUUUUAAGUUUCAGUUGAUUUAGAUCACAGCACUGUCACAUAGAAAAGGACUACUAGAAAAUGUGUUUGGAGUUUGGGAUUGAAAAGUGCAGAGAGUGGGGCGC
Molecule: long non-coding RNA, 1322 nt
Organism: Zalophus californianus (California sea lion)
Lineage: Eukaryota; Metazoa; Chordata; Mammalia; Carnivora; Otariidae
Exons: 4
Source: RefSeq, a predicted model, not a curated record